This is a non-coding RNA of Manis javanica (Malayan pangolin), 5470 nucleotides long. The record is from RefSeq and is a predicted model, not a curated record. NCBI's taxonomy places the organism in Eukaryota, Metazoa, Chordata, Mammalia, Pholidota, Manidae.
UUAACGCUCGCUGCUCCCCGGGAAAACAUGGCGGAACUUCCCCGAGCCGGACUUUCGGCGAAAGCCGGCAGCGAGAUUGGGUUUAGUGAUAGGUGGGCGAGAGGCAGUCAUUUCUUGGGACUUGAGGGUGAAGAAUAGCACAGAAGGAAACCCAACUGCGCUGGCCCUUUGUUGCCACCAUUUUGGGGCAAAUGGCAGGAUAGUGAAGGAACAGUAGAUCAUAACAGAGAAGAUGCACACUGCCUGAUCUUUCGGCAGUCUCCCACCUGGUUGCCCUGGGCCGGCCCCACUCCGCUGUUCCCGCUGGACUCAAGAAGUCUUGGCAAGUGAGGACCUGCCUGGUUCUGACAUCGAAUCUGGGACGUCAGCACCCAGUCCCUGAGUCCCAGACACCCCACCACCACCAGCCUCCCUGACAACUCCAGAACCAGUGGACCUAUUCUCACCUGGACCAGCAGCCAGACCACCCUCAGCCAGGAGCAGGCACCCUUCAGAUGCCAGUGAAAGAGGUGCGGGAGCCUGAAAGACAUAAUAUGGGACCAACCAGUGCAGCCAGUCCAUGUUUUACUGUCAACCCUUCUCCACAAAUGACACCUGGUCAGAAAAGUCACAAGCCCUAGUUGAUCUCAUGGAAUCCCUCUUACAAAUCCAUCAGCCCACCUAAAAAACUGUUAACAGCUUCUCGACUCCCUGUUCACAAUAGAAUACAGGAGGCAGCCAUGGUCCUUGAUUGGGGUGCAUGGGCUGAAAUCACUGUCCCCAAGGAGCACCCCGAGUGUCACUUCACCACCCCUGAUCAGCCGAUAUCAGGACACCCUCCUCCAGGGGAUCAAAGCUGGGUCCAAGAAGCCUAUGAACAUGACCAAAGUAUCUUCAAUCACUCAACAACCAGGAGACUCUCCUGGGGACUAUUAUAAAAGACUGUGUGGAGAUUAUUGCAUCUACACCCCCUUCAAUUCUGAGACACUAGGGAGCCAACAAAUGGUCAACACCUCAUUCAUAGCUCAGGCCACCCCAGACAUCAGAAAAAAAGCUCCAAAACUUGAAAACUUUGCCAGGAUGAAUAUCACUCAGCUGAUUAAAAUUGCCAACAAAGUGUAUCUAAACAGAGAAGUUCAGGCAGACAGGCUGAAAGAAAAAAGAAAAAGGCCAGCUUCCUGGCAACUGCCCUAAAAGAAAAAGAGAUGACCAAAAGGCAGAGAAAAGCUGGCUGCCAGGAGGGAGGAAGCCUAGGACGCCCCUAGCCAGGGACCAGUGUGCUUAAUGUGAAGAGAAGGGGCAUUGGAAAAACAAGUGCCCCAACCGAGGCAAAGCCCUGAAGCUCGGUCACUGCCGGAAGGAGCCAUGCAGGGAAAGGCUCACUGGCCUGCUAGGAGCAGACUCAGCCUGACAAGGCCCGGGCUCUCGCACUCGGCCCCCAUGAGCCCACGGUCAGAAUGAAAGUGGGGAGACAACAAAUGACUUUUAUGGUUGACACAGGGGCACAACACUCUGCAGUCACCACGCUUCAGUAAAAAGACUGCAACUAUUCUCGGAGCCACUGGUACAUAAACAGUCCAGUAACACUUUUGCCAAACCCACCAGUGUGAAUUUGGAGGCUACAAGGCCCAACAUGAGUUUCUCUACCUGCCCGAGUGCCCCAUUCCCCUCUUCAGCCAAGAUAUACUCUCAAAGCUUGGAGCCCAAAUACCUUCUGAACCAACAGGAUGCACCAGCCUCAAACUAAACCCAGGCCAAGAAGAGCCAGGGUCCCUCGUGCUGGCAAUAACCACACCCAGGGAAGAGGAGUGGAGGCUGUUCUGUGCCCAGACCCUCUCAAGUAGCUCACCUGAAGUCAGAGCUGCCUUCCCCUUGGUAUGGGCUGAAGACAACCCACCUGGACUUGCUCAUAACCAAGCCCCUGUCAUUGUAGAAUUGACUCUGGGGGCCCAGUCACACAGACACUGGCAGUAUCCCCUCACAAGCAGGCAUCCAGGAACACUUGAUCAGACUCAGAGAGGCAGGUAUUCUAACUGAGUGUCAGUCGCCCUAGAACACCCCACUUCUACCAGUCAAGAAGCCAGGAGGAGGGCACCAUCCUGUUCAAGACCUGCAAGCCAUUAACAGAGUGACUGUUUCUUUACACCUGGUGGUCCAAAACCCGUACACCCUCCUCAGCUAGAUCCCAGAGUCUGCCAAAUGGUUCACUUGCCUAGACUUUAAGGAUGCCUUUUUCUGACUCCGUCUUGACCCCCAAAGCCAGCUCUUGUUUGCCUUUGAAUGGACUGAACCAGACAUCAGGUGUCAGAUGCUGUUAAGCUGCACAGGGCUUCCACAAGAGUUCAAGAACUCACUGACUCUCUUUGGAGAAGCAUUGGCUGCAGACCUUGCCAGCUUUCUGAGGGAAGCUACACACUGCGCCCUCCUCCAGUAUGUAGAUGACCUCCUCUUUGCCAGUGACACUGAGGAAAAUUUUUUGAAAGUCACAAGGGCCUUCCUACAACUCCUGUCAGACUCAGGAUACUGAGCCUCAUGGAAAAAGGCACAAAUCUGCCAUCAACAAGUCCAUACUUGGUCUUCCUCCUCACCCAGGGAGAAAGGACACUAGAGCCAGAGAAGAAAAACAUCAUUGACUCCUUCCCCAGCCCCAGAUGGGGGUGGGGUGGCAAGUGAGAAUUCCUAGGAGCCACCAGGUUCUGCAAAAAUCUGGAUUCCCAGAUUCUCAGCAAUGGCAUGGCCCCUCCUCAACCUCCUGUGCGGGCCAGACUGUAAGCCCUCUGUCUGGACAAAAAAGGCAAGAGUUGCCUUCCUGGAAAUAAAAGGUGCUUCAAAACAAACACCAGCCCUUGGCCUGCCAGAUAAAAAAGGCGCUUCAAUCUCUUUGUGCAUACAAAAGUAACAAUUCUGCAUCGCAAAAAACAUCAAAAGAAAAACAACCCUGUAACACAGGAGAACCAGCUAGCAGAUGAAGCAGCUUAAACAGCGACCAAUAAAAAAACAGAUAAAGCUCCUUCCCUCAGUAUGGCCCUAACACCCCCAGUGGAGUCCCCUCCACUGAAGCACACUAAAAAGAAAAAGACUGAGCCAUAGCUGAAGGAGCCAAUCUAUAAAAAAAAAAAAAAAAACAAUCCUACAUCAGCCAGUAGUACUGCCUGCAUUAUGCCUAUCAGUAAGUGAGCAAUACAUGACUUGUGCCAAAAAUAACUCUUGAUCAACACCACAACCCCGCCCAGUGUCCAAACAGCAGGACUUGCCGCCUUUAAAUACCUCAAGAUAGACUUCACAGAUAUCCAGCCAAGCAGGGGACUCAGAUAUCCUUAGUAAUAGUAUGUGCAUACUCUGGCUAGGUCGAAGUCUUCCCAACCAGGACAGAAUGAAGCCAGGAAGUAGCCAAAGUCCUUCUGACAGAAAUAGUGCUCCAGUUUGGCCUACCAUCCACAAUCCACAGUGACAGUGGGCCUGCCUUUGUAGCAGAUGUACUACAAAUGUUAACUAAAAUCCCUCAACAUUACCUGAAAACUUCACACUGUGUACAGGCCACAGAGUUCAGGGAAAGUAGAGUGAAUGAAUCAUACCCUCAAAGGAACCCUAGCUAAAUUUUGCCAAGAAACUGGACUUCCAUGGCCAGAUUUACUGCCCCUGGCUCUCCUGCGUGCUCGCUGCACACUUGGAACUAAAGGUUUUUCCCCUUUUGAAUUAGUGUAUGGACACCCUCCCCUGUGUCUAGGAAGCAUCCCAGGGAACCUACACCAAAUAGGAGAUGAGAGAGCAAGAGAACAGCCCCAAGCCUUGGGAGCCACCCUAAGUAAGCUACAACAAUACCCCAUAGAGCCCUGAUCUCUCUAGGAAUGCAGUACAUUCCUUCCAGGCUGGGGUCUCAGUCUGGGUUAAAGAUUGGAAAAGGACCCCUUCAAACCUCAGUGGACUGACCCCCACAUUCUAACUACUACUGCUCUCAGGGCUGCAGGCAUCACUCCGGGGGUCCAUCAUUCCAGAGUGGGAAGGGCCCAUCCUGACAAGGAAGCACAUCAGUGGAGGCCCAGCCAGACCUCCAGAUCCUCUCCACCUCCACAUCCUAUGAUUGCCCUCUGACUAAUGGACACCUCUGCUCCGUGGAUCCUGGCCCUCGCUGGAGUGGUGUCUUUCAUUCUGGGCAUUGGACUCUCUGCUGCUGCCCCCUCUGACUAAACUGUUCCUCAAAAAAAGUUGCCCUGUCUAUUGUCUAUUGGGUAAUUGUUAAGUUGUUCUGCUCUGCUUACCUGUCUCUCUAGCUGAACUCAAGUCUCAACCUGCAUUUCCAAAGUACCUCUCUAUAAUGUUUAACUGUACAAAAGUUAUAAAGUGUAUAGUAUGCCUGAAGGAAGCUGCCUCCUUUCCCCUGGUGAGAUUUCCUGGGCAAAAUGGUCUGCCCCUUUGCUGAUCCCUGCUCUAGUUGGGCUCAGUGUAGAUGGAUCAGCUGCAAUAGGCACAGUGGACCUAAUAUAAAGAGACUUAGGGCUUGCUGCCCUAACAGAGGAAGCUGAUCAAGAUUUAGAGAAGCUUGAAACCACCACGAUUCAGCUCCAAGAUCAAAUUGAUUCCCUGGCUGAAGUAUUGUUACAGAAUCGUAGCGGAUUGAACCUCCUCUUCAUGUCCCAGGGAAGCUUAUGUGUAGCCCUUGGAGAAGAUUGUUAUUUUUAUGCAAACAGGUCUGGAAUAGUUAGGAGCUCUCUAGCCACAGUAAAAGAAAAUAUCCUGCAUAGGAAUAAGAUGUUAGAAAACAAAAAGCCUUGAUUCCAAGGAUGGUUUGAAUGGAAUUCAUGGAUAACAACUCUUCUAACUGGCCUUGCUGGGCCAGUGAUUCUGAUGUUCCUCAGACUAUUUAGGACCCUUCAUAUUUAACUGGCUCAUUAACUUUAUUAAGGAAUGCAUUUCCUCCAUACAGCUCAUGUAUAUGCGGAGCCACUAUGACCUUCAUAAACCAGGAAAAUGAUGCCCCUUUUACUGAUUGGAAUGCCCAUCUGUCCUGCUUCCAAUGUUGUGCAGAAGAUACUUGCUCUGCCUCUUCCUCUGAAGGAAGGAGCAUGAGCGUGAGGCCCCAACCGGUCACCAGUGACCCUGCCCCCUCCUUCCCCGACCCGGGACCUCAGCCUGCUCUCCGCUGCAUGGACUAUUUUCCGGUGAGUCCCUCAGUUUCCCCCGGUCUGCUUCCCUUCCUAACUCUGAUUCACCUGGUCUGUUACAAAUCAUAUGUAUGUCCAGGUGGGGGCAUCUGGCCCCUUGGGCAUCCAGCCUACCCUCUGCAGGCAUCCAGCCUGCCCCUGGUCCUGCGGUGCGGGAACUGUCCCUCACCCAGGCUCCCAGGACAUCUCCUCUGACUUGGCGCGCUUGGGACACUGGGUGCUCCUCUCAGCGGGAUUAGUUGGGGAGUGAUGCAGAUAUGGGAAACCAGCCCUCAAAAGCAGAGGCUCAGACCCCACUGCAGUGUCUCCUUUCUAAUUUGGCUGCUCUA